GAAGAACCUUACCAGGGUCUUGACAUCUAGUGCCAACCUAAGAGAUUAGGCGUUCCCUUCGGGGACACUAAGACAGGUGGUGCAUGGCUGUCGUCAGCUCGUGUCGUGAGAUGUUGGGUUAAGUCCCGCAACGAGCGCAACCCUUAUUAUUAGUUGCCAGCAUUAAGUUGGGCACUCUAAUGAGACUGCCGGUGACAAACCGGAGGAAGGUGGGGAUGACGUCAAGUCAUCAUGCCCCUUAUGACCUGGGCUACACACGUGCUACAAUGGGCAGUACAACGAGGAGCGAACUUGUGAAGGCAAGCGAAUCUCUGAAAGCUGUUCUCAGUUCGGACUGUAGGCUGCAACUCGCCUACACGAAGCUGGAAUCGCUAGUAAUCGCGGAUCAGCACGCCGCGGUGAAUACGUUCCCGGGUCUUGUACACACCG
Molecule: ribosomal RNA, 429 nt
Filed under: uncultured bacterium
Lineage: Bacteria
Description: bacterial SSU rRNA
Rfam family: Bacterial small subunit ribosomal RNA
Source: RNAcentral